AGUGAAAUGGAGAUUUUAUUGAUCCUAAAGCAUGUUUGCUUAUGACAGGGCAGAAGAAGGAAAAAAGAAGAAGGAAACAACUUGGGCUAAUGUUCAACAACAAUGCUGAUGCUGCUACAGAGGUGUGCAUACAUCCCAAAGCUGUCAACGAGUGGCAGGGGGUGGCAGUGCCUGUCACAUCUCUGCUUUUGGAAAAGAUCCGAGCCCUGAUGGCACAGCCACACUGCAGUUUCCAUGGCAGAUCUCAGGCAAGAUAUUCCCCGGGAGAGUUUUUGAUGUCACCAUUUUUCAGGUGAGUUCCAUGGUGAUGAUCACAGCUUGUGUU
RNAcentral lists this long non-coding RNA (325 nucleotides) under Zonotrichia albicollis (white-throated sparrow). RNAcentral's name for it is "lncRNA (ENSZALG00000013670.1)". The record is from RNAcentral. Lineage: Eukaryota; Metazoa; Chordata; Aves; Passeriformes; Passerellidae.